This 511-nucleotide ribosomal RNA is filed under the name uncultured bacterium. RNAcentral's name for it is "bacterial SSU rRNA". It matches the Rfam family "Bacterial small subunit ribosomal RNA", at positions 833 to 1343 of the family's 1533-position model. The record is from RNAcentral.
UGAGGAGUGGCUUCCGGAGCUAACGCGUUAAGUCGACCGCCUGGGGAGUACGGCCGCAAGGUUAAAACUCAAAUGAAUUGACGGGGGCCCGCACAAGCGGUGGAGCAUGUGGUUUAAUUCGAUGCAACGCGAAGAACCUUACCUACUCUUGACAUCCAGAGAAUUUAGCAGAGAUGCUUUAGUGCCUUCGGGAACUCUGAGACAGGUGCUGCAUGGCUGUCGUCAGCUCGUGUUGUGAAAUGUUGGGUUAAGUCCCGCAACGAGCGCAACCCUUAUCCUUUGUUGCCAGCACGUAAUGGUGGGAACUCAAAGGAGACUGCCGGUGAUAAACCGGAGGAAGGUGGGGAUGACGUCAAGUCAUCAUGGCCCUUACGGGUAGGGCUACACACGUGCUACAAUGGCGCAUACAAAGAGAAGCGACCUCGCGAGAGCAAGCGGACCUCAUAAAGUGCGUCGUAGUCCGGAUUGGAGUCUGCAACUCGACUCCAUGAAGUCGGAAUCGCUAGUAAUC